GUGAGUAAAUAUGAGUUUGGAAAUAAAGCCUGGGAGGUGUCCACAGCUCAGCGUUGCUCUGGGCUAUGGGCCUUGGAUCAGUGACUACCGACAGGCUGGCAGGACAGGGUGCGUGGAGACCGUGGGUUACAGGAGGCCUCUGAAGAACCGAGAGCCUCUGCAACACAGGCCACUGGCCCUGUCUCACGGCUCAUUAGCCCCGUGGCCCGGCGCCCGGAGCGGGUGGAAAGGAACAGGUGGCCACUCUCUGGAACAUCAUAAAACCCCUGCAAAGCAUGUGCUUCAUUUUCAGGGACAGUUGCCAAAUUCUUGUCCUUGAAAUAAUUUUCCAGGUCUUUCUACUAGAAAAAAAGUUUAAUUUGGAAAAUGAGAGAAGGAGGAAAUAUGAAGGAAUAACCAAGGUAGAAGAAAGCUCCCAGGUUUCUGGACAGAAGAGAGGAAGUUUAGGAUAGGAGCCUGCUUUAAGGACAGCCCCAGGCCCCACUGCAAAGUGAACAAUCAGAACCACGACCGAAUUCACAGAGUUUGGUCUGAUACCUCUGGAUAGCUAAGAAUUCACAUGAACGCAACGUGGACCCAGGGGCCCCUUAAUCCAGCUUCGAGAAAACUGUGCUGUGUUUACAUGGUUCAUCUCCGCAUGCCCAGCACCCUGCAGCCCCCAGACUCGCGGGACAGGCCAGCUCGUCCUAAUUGCGCCUUCCGCCAGCCUGUCCUCAUUAGCACUGCUUGGGCUCCGCGGUCAAUCUGUCGAAAGCCAGGGGAAUGCUGAGUCAUCUGCCUCCUUUUCAACCACGACAUAUUUCUGGGAAUGUGAAGAACACUGGAGCGACGUGACAUUCCUCUGCUUGUAGUUGUAAGGCAACUCCCCACUUCCUUUCUAGUCACGUUGCAUCAUCCUUCUGAACAGGAUGAAACAGAUUUACUUGAAACUUACAUGCCUUUAGGAGAGAAAGGCAGGGUACAGGUCUGAGCCCCACACCCUCUUUGUAGUGCACCCAGAGAGCCAGUGGGCAAGACUGAUAACUGUUCUCUUGCCUUUGCAUGGGUAAGAAAGACACACAUUGAGUACUUUCUAUGCUCAUCUCAUAAUAAUGAAAAAUCAGUAACAUGACGGCAAAGACAGGCUCGUUUCACAACACACGAGAACCAGCCGUUGUGGAUACGUCAGUUCUGGGGUGGGGCACUGCAGUUUUUGAAUUCUUUGCCCUUGUCAUCUGAGAAUAAGUCAUGGGAAAGGUGAAUGGUCUAUGUAAAACCUUUGGCCUGUGGGCAAGCUUUUGGACAUCAAAGUCCCAGAGGAGUGUUAUUUAUUAACAGCACCAUUAACAAACAAACACUGCGGGUUUGCGGAGGGGAGCUGGGGGGCAGUGAUGGAUGCAGAGGUGGACAAAAAGGGACCUGCCCCAAGAAGGGCACAGUGUCAUGGUGGAGACUGGACCCUCCACGAUGCAGAGGCUGCCCUUUUGAGAGCUGAGCUUGUGAUCGGCGUGAUGCUAAGCAUUUACUCGAGCUAUCUCACUUCACCAUCAGAACCGCGGCCCUAAGUGGCAGGUCUGUUGCCCCAUCUUACAGACGAAGAAACUGAGGCUCAGAAAGGAGAGUUUACAGGGGAAAAGAAGUUUUAAUAAAACAAAAAGGUAGAAGUGUAAAUUGGUGGACUUUUUGGAAGAAAUUUGCCAACCUCCAGCAAAAGCUGAAAAUCUUCGACCCAGUGAUGCCAGUUUGAGAAGAUAACCAAAGAAGCAGGCAGAGACGUGCACCUAAAGCCGUCUAAAGCAGAUCAGAGAACAUUUGGAAAUACCUUAAAUGUCCAAUAACAAGAGAUUGAGAUAAAUUUUGGUUCAGCUAUACAGUUGAAUUCAAUACUAGGUAGCAUCAAAGGGAUCAUAUAGAUUGACAGGGGUAGUAGAGAUUGUUACGAUGCAUUAAUACACGAGGAAAAUACAUUAUAAAACAUUGUCUACCAAUUGGUCUCGUUUUGGUAAAAAAUGCAUUUAUAUGAAUACAUUCAUUAAAUGAUUCAGCUUUUUAGAGAAGUAAUGAUGCAAAUAAUUAUUUAAUUUUAGUUGUGAUGAAAGUUCACAGGGAGAGGCUGCCCCGAGUGUGUGCUGGGGGAGACCCGACCCAGUGAGCAGACAGCACUGGAAGGGAGAGUAAGACUUGAAAGGAAAUACACCAAAAUGCUUUGUGACUUUAAUUUUUCUUUCUAAUUAUCUGUAUUUUCUAGUGUUUUUUUUUCUAAAGUAAAAAUGGAUUACUUGGAGAGAAAUAUUUACUUUUAAAUAAUCUUCAAAACAGAAAGGAAAGAAACGAAUGUAGAAGUCAGAAAAGAUGAAGAAUGUGUGAGAUCGAGGACUCACGGAGGAGAGACCUUCCAGAAGGGAGUCAACAGUAUCAGCUGCCUCCGAAAGACCCAACCAACAGGAUGAAGACCAAGAUGAGGAAAGAGGAGAGCCACUGACGCCCUCACAUUUCUUCUGGAAAACGUUUAUUUGUUAUUUAUCUCCAGCCACCUUCCUGUCUCAGUCCAGACCCACAUUUUCCAUCGCGUCUUCCUGGAUGUCAUUACCUGGCAAUUCUGUGGGUAGUUCCAACUCGGCAUACCCCAAACAGAACCGCCUCCUCCCUCCACCCCUUCACUUCAGCCCCCAAACAGUCAGACAGGCAGACACCAAACUCAUUCACCUGUGUUCUCCAUCUUCUUUGGCUACACCAACAUCCACUCAAACUGAGUGUCCGUCUAGAUUCUUCCUUCUCUCUCCUUAUGCACAUUUAAAUGAUCCUUUAAACAUCCCUUUGACUAGGCUCUCCUCACUAAGCUGGAGUUUACGGCCUUAGUCAGGCCCUCCCCACCCCUUAUCUAGAACAACUCACCAGCGCCUCACCUGUUGUCCUCCUCUCCUUUAACCCUUCCGCCACACCGGCACUGACUGUAAACGCCCCGGACCAUCUGACUCACAUAUAACACUCUGCUCCCAUUCUCUCCAGAAUAAAGUCUAACUUCUUUAAAAUAUUGCAAAUAACGAAGCAAUAAGCAUCUUGUGCACACAACUGGUUUUUUUCAUUCAAAGUAUUUCCUUGGGAGAAGUUCCGAGGGUUGGACGGCCUGGGGUAUCAUUAUGUAUGAACACUCUGACACUUCUGAAACUGAGCGCUAAUGCAACCCCCCCCCACACACACGCACACACACACAUUCUCCUCCAGCAUACAUGGUCUUAGGGUUUGUAGGAAACAAAUCUUAAUUUUUGUUCCCUGACUGCCUGUAAUUUUUUUCUCUUUUAAAUCAGGUCCAAGCUAUCUUUUUAUUAAAAAAAAUUAUUUUCAUUUUAAA
Long non-coding RNA from Equus caballus (horse), 3331 nucleotides. The record is from Ensembl. Lineage: Eukaryota; Metazoa; Chordata; Mammalia; Perissodactyla; Equidae.